UAAAAGGCGAUGAGUGUGUAAGUAGAUAUAUAUUUUCCGUCAGAGAGAAAGACUCACAGGCUGGAAGGUCUUUCAGGUUCAGAUAUAUAUUGAAAUUCCCACAGGAGCUGCAUUCACCAACAGAUUAUAAGUAUGAAUAAUACUAAAGAAGGAAACUAAUCUAAGUAAUGAAUGACGUGUGUAGCGCGUUAAGCAGAUAGAGUGUUCGUGAUAAUGAUUACGGAAACUAGGGUGGUACCGCGGAGCAAUCCGUCCCUAUG
This 260-nucleotide non-coding RNA is filed under the name Eubacterium ventriosum. RNAcentral's name for it is "T-box sequence". It matches the Rfam family "T-box leader". Rfam says of the family: Uncharged tRNA acts as the effector for transcription antitermination of genes in the T-box leader family. T-boxes are found upstream of many aminoacyl-tRNA synthetase genes and some amino acid biosynthetic genes usually in Gram-positive bacteria. Lineage: Bacteria; Bacillati; Bacillota; Clostridia; Eubacteriales; Eubacteriaceae. The record is from RNAcentral.